RNAcentral lists this transfer RNA (64 nucleotides) under Paragnetina indentata. Its description in RNAcentral is "tRNA-Tyr". Lineage: Eukaryota; Metazoa; Arthropoda; Insecta; Plecoptera; Perlidae. The record is from RNAcentral.
GGUAGGAUGGCUGAGAGUUAGGCAAUAGAUUGUAAAUCUAUCUACGGGAUUAUCCCCCCUCAUA